GCCCGGGUGGUGGAACUGGUAGACACGCAGGACUUAAAAUCCUGUGGCCAGUAAUGGUCGUGCCGGUUCGAUUCCGGCUCCGGGCA
RNAcentral lists this transfer RNA (86 nucleotides) under Bacteroidota bacterium. RNAcentral's name for it is "tRNA-Leu". It matches the Rfam family "tRNA". From Rfam's summary of the family: Transfer RNA (tRNA) molecules are approximately 80 nucleotides in length. Their secondary structure includes four short double-helical elements and three loops (D, anti-codon, and T loops). Further hydrogen bonds mediate the characteristic L-shaped molecular structure. tRNAs have two regions of fundamental functional importance: the anti-codon, which is responsible for specific mRNA codon recognition, and the 3' end, to which the tRNAs corresponding amino acid is attached (by aminoacyl-tRNA synthetases). tRNAs cope with the degeneracy of the genetic code in two manners: having more than one tRNA (with a specific anti-codon) for a particular amino acid; and 'wobble' base-pairing, i.e. permitting non-standard base-pairing at the 3rd anti-codon position. Lineage: Bacteria; Pseudomonadati; Bacteroidota. The record is from RNAcentral.